Molecule: ribosomal RNA, 372 nt
Filed under: uncultured bacterium
Lineage: Bacteria
Description: bacterial SSU rRNA
Rfam family: Bacterial small subunit ribosomal RNA
Source: RNAcentral
AAUCAACGCUGGCGGCGUGCCUCAGACAUGCAAGUCGAACGAUUAAAGCUCUCUUCGGAGAGUGCAUAGAGUGGCGCACGGGUGAGUAACACGUAAGUAAUCUACCCUCGAGUGGGGAAUAACAACCGGAAACGGUUGCUAAUACCGCAUAAUGCAGCGGCACCGCAAGGUGACAGUUGUUAAAGAUUUAUCGCUUGAGGAGGAGCUUGCGGCAGAUAGCUAGUUGGUAAGGUAAUGGCUUACCAAGGCUACGAUCUGUAACCGGUCUAAGAGGACGGUCGGUCACACUGACACUGAAUAACGGGUCAGACUCCUACGGAGGCAGCAGUCGGGAAUUUUGGCAAUGGGCGAAAGCCUGACCCAGCAACGCCG